AAGGCCUUUGGUCUGGGCUAGAGUCCUAGAAGCUGGGUUAGAGUCCUAGAAUAUUUUCCUUUAGGUCGGUUUGUAGUCCCGACUUGGGUUCCAGAGAGACUGUUGAUCUGAUCUUAAAUACAUUGCACUUUCAAUUUUACUUACUAAAAAGCCUUUUUAACUUUCAAUUUAAUUUUCUCUUAAAUACAUUGCACUUUCUAUUUUACUCAUUUCUUGCAUAUGUUUUCUUUUACUUAUCUAUUAUUUUAUUUUAUUGUAUGACAAUGUUUAUAUGUGAAGCACUUUGAGUCUGCCUUGUGUAUGAAAAGUGCUAUAUAAAUAAAGUUGCCUUGCCUUGC
Molecule: long non-coding RNA, 338 nt
Organism: Gadus macrocephalus (Pacific cod)
Lineage: Eukaryota; Metazoa; Chordata; Actinopteri; Gadiformes; Gadidae
Exons: 2
Source: RefSeq, a predicted model, not a curated record